UGUGGAAAAAGAGGCUCCUGUGGGCUGGGAACCUCCUCGCGGCCACCGAGGAGGCGGGCCCGGCGUGCUUUUCUCUUGGCAUUUACUGCCCUGAAGAAUGAUUGCGGCUUCCUCCGACCGCCAGAGCCAGAGCCGGAGAGGUGACUUCUCGGGAGACUUUGUUUACUUGGAGCUCGGGGAGGCCCUGGCAUGAGCGAGCUGGGAUCUGCGUCCGGCCUCGGGCUGACCCCCAGGGGCUGCCAUGCACAGCGCCCCUCGGGAACAAGGGGGAGCCUCCCGGGAGGAGGGAGGCAGGACGGGGCCCUGCGGUCCGGCCAGGGUGGCACUGUGGCCCGGGCACCCCGUGGGCACAACACACGCCGGAAACCAUAGCCACCCGAGCCCCAGGUUCUGCAGACCCCAAGGAGUGGACGAUGGGCCCACGGGGCUGUUCACAGGGCCACACUGCAAACAGGAUGCGGGUGCUCGUCCUGGGUCUCAGCCCAGUGGCAGGGAGGGCUUUGCACAGUGAGUGACACCCACGUGGCUCCGCCUGGCCUCCAGCAUGGCACGAAUCCGGCUGGGAGGCCAGAGCACAGCGGUACAGCACCUGCCUGGCGAGCAAGAGGCCCCAGGUUCCAUCCCCGGUACCCCACACCCGACCCGGGUCGGAUUCUGAAGCCCCUGUGUCACCAGUGUGUCCUCCUCCAGCACGGCCUCCACACACCCCACGCGCAGAAGCUGCAUGCUUCCCUCUGCCGUGGGAAGCAGCGGGCGCCCCGGCACCCGGGGUGUCGCCAGAGGAGCCUGGGUGGAUCCCUGGAGCCCCAGCCCCAGCCAUGCCACACUCUGCCGCUUGCUGCUCCCCACGCUGAGGGUUCCCAAGCCCCACUUCCCCUCCCACGGGGACACCGCGGAGGCCGCUUUGGAACGGUUAUCUGUGAUUUCCUGAAAUUAGGUAAAAAAUAUUCGACAUUUUUUUGUUAGCCCAAGUACCUGCUUCCUGGUAGAUUCCAAAUGCUGACCCCAUGGUGACCAGAGGAAGGGGUGUGCCGGACCCGGCCUGGGCGACGUCAGGGUGUCUGGCUGACAGCUCGGGCGGGAGUGUGGCCGGCUCUCUGGUGGCCGCUGGCCACUGAGUCACAGCCACCCCCACCCACGUCCUGUGCCCUCAGCUGGGCCCAGGGCUUCAGUGGCCCAGGUCCUGAACUGUCCCUGGAGCCCCUGGGUCCGAGACUGGGAGCCUUGCCGUUCCCCAGGGAAGCCUCGGUUUCCGCAGAGACCCAGAAACAACCUCUUCCUGCCUCCCGGGAUGCUGAGCGGGUGCAGGGAAGGGCGGCCGCGGGGCACCGAGGAGGAGGCCGUGCGAGCUGGGCUCCGCUGUGCGAUGCCAUCCCUCUGCCCAGCCCGAGCGGCCCUGGCUCGGGUCACCUUGCUCCUUACCCUCCCCCGGUCAGCUCCUUGGCGACGGCAUCCUGGCUCCUGCUCCUCGCGUGACUCUGAAGUCUCCGUUUCUGUCUGGACCUCGGGGCGGCUGCUACCAGAAAGGUCGUCAGCCCGAAAGGAAGUGAGGCCUGAUAGGGCACCGGAGCUGGCCGGGAAAGCCCCUCGGCGCGGGGCUGGCGUGAGGGACGCUGCACACACAGCUUGGAGUUUACAGUGAACCGAUCAUCCAGAGAAAACCACCACCAACAAAACAUCUGUGUCCAUCCAUCGAAGGCCCGAGCCCUCGGGAGGACCAAAACGGCCCGGGAGCCACUUCCUGUCCAGCGCGGGUUCUGCAGAGCCCGGAGAAGGUGCCAGGGCUCCCUUGAGAGGUCUGUCCAGAGCACACACCCUGCAUCGGCCAGCUGGGCAUGGGAGAGGCCAGGGCCAGCUGCGGGGGACCAGCACUGCAGGGAACCCAGGUCUCCCGUCCCCAGGGCCGUGGGGAGCCUCGCGUCAGGGACUGGGGUCCCGCAGGCCCCUUCCUGCCACAGCUUCAUGGAGUUGUAACUUUCACACCCUAAGGCUCCCCUCUGCCGCCUCCUGCUCCUGCUGACCCCAGACCCUUCCCACCUCUGCCCAUCUGGACAGCAUGGUCCUCCCUGCCCACCUCCUCUCAGCAUCCUCCCUCCAGGUCUGCCCGCAACCAGUGUCCAUGCCCCCGUCCUCCUGUGCCUGGGCAGUGGCCCCUAGGUGGUCUGCAGGUAGCAGCCUGGGCCUGGGCUGGCCAGUCUCCCCUCGCAGGUGUGGACCGGCCAUUCCGGGCCCAGCACGCUGACCAAGCUGCCCCCAGAGUGCCCGCAGUCUUUCUCAGCCUCCCUGCGGUGAGUAACAGCUCGGUUUCUGAGCUCCUGUCUCCCCUGCCCGGGGAUGGAGCUCGGGGCCUUGUGCAGGGCACUCACCUCCUCCUCAGCCCUCUGUGUUUCUCUCUGGAGACAGGGUCUCACGAAUGGCCCAGGCUGGCCUUGAGCUAAAGAUCUUCCUGCCUCAGCCUCCCCUGUGUGGUAGCUGGGGUUAUGGGCCUGUACCGCAGCACCCAGCCUGAGCUCACUUUUGGGCAAAGCCCCAGCACAGAGCGAACUUCCUGUGGGUUAACUAGGAAUAGUAAUUAGUAAUCAGGAAUUCUCCCACUCGGGUGACAGCGCUGAUGGACCCAGCAGGCCCAGGAACAAGGGGCCCAGGUGAGGACCUUGGGGAGACCCGGCCCAGCCCGUGCUGUCCCUGGGCAUCAGCCUCUCCCACCCCACAGUGGCUCCUCGAGCACACCUGUCCCCCAGUCAGUGUCCACUCUGCUGAUGGCACUGGCCCUGGGCUGGGUGCUCAGGGAUGUUCUGGGUCAGCAGUGUGGUCACGCUGUGUCCUCACCACGGGGAAGACUUGGGGGAGUCAGUGCUCCAUGCCAACUUCUGGUCCACUGCCGCCUGGCCGAGGGAUUGGACCGAGGCUUGCAGGGCAUAGGUACAGUGCUGGCAGAGGACGUCACGGCCACCUUUCUGGAUUCUCCAGAGAUGUGGGGCGAGGGCAGUGGACUAGUCCUCAGCCCCCACCCCCAACGUCCACUCCACCCCAGACGCAGCCCCCGGCUCCAGGCACAGGAGGAAGAGAGGCUGCCCUUAGCCGUGCCCUGCAGCUCCAUAAAGUGGGCACAGAUGGUGCUGGGCCCUGGGGCCAGGGUGGAUGCCCUGAAGUGACAACCUCGGACCUCUAAAGUGAUCUCCGGGCCUGGCCGCCAUACUGUGACCUGAAGACCUCCACCAGCACUGCCUCGGGAUGGGCACCCGUGACAGCUGAGGCUCAGGGUCCCCUGGGACGCAGGUGACCCCCUCGAGGUCCCGAGAGACCAAGGCGCAGAGCCCACUGGCAAACCAGCGCCUGGCCAGGAGCCCAAACCUGGGAGCCUGCGGAAAUCACUUCUGAUCAACCUUCUGACGGUCAGCGCGCUCCAGGCUGAGAAGUCCUGCCUGGGGGCCUGCUGAGAUCUGGGCUCCAGGGCAGCCCUGUUCCUGCCUGGCCGCACUGGGCCCCCGGACAGGAGUUUCCGUGUCAUGUCGUGUGAAAAUGCACAGUGUCACAGCCUGGGAUGGUUGGCUGGCGCUGCCUACCAACUUAAUGACAGAGAGGACCCAGGAGAACUUUGUGAAUACUCACACCGAUGGCAUUUAACCUCGGGCUUCCUGGCAGCCAGAGGAAAAGGUGAAACAAGUUGGGUUAUUUGAUGCUCAUUAUCCAAAGGGUGGAACUGCACGGGCUGGUUCUCCAACUGAAUCUCAGAUGCUGCGGCUGCUGAGGAACCGUUUCUUCAUGCUGAUUUCCAGAGUUAUGGUGAUUUACUUACUUUUUUGUCUUUUUGAGACAGGGUGUUGCUACGCAGUUCAGGCUGGCCUUGAGCUCACUUUGUAGCCCAGGCUGGUCUCGAACUCGCAGCGAUCCUCCUGCCUCCCAAGUGCUGGGGUUACAGGCGUGCACCACCACGCCGGCUACUCAUGGUAAAUUAAUGAGUACAAUAAUGAAAUGAAAGCACAGUUGUCUCAUUUAAUGCACAAGUUCUUUGAAGAAAAUAACAUGCCACACUAACCCACUGUUUAUUCCUGUCUGUUUCGGAAUCUGGGAUCACGGAUGGCAUUCUCUCUUUCCAUUUUAAAAUGAAGUUAAUAAGUGAAUAAAGCAAGUUAAGGGUGACGAGGGUCCUGUGGCCCUGCUCAUCAAACACACAGAGCUGUGCAUGGAGAAGAUCACCGUGCUGUUCCUG
This is a long non-coding RNA of Cavia porcellus (domestic guinea pig), 4213 nucleotides long. RefSeq lists it as uncharacterized. Lineage: Eukaryota; Metazoa; Chordata; Mammalia; Rodentia; Caviidae. The record is from RefSeq and is a predicted model, not a curated record. The transcript is spliced from 3 exons.